RNAcentral lists this ribosomal RNA (488 nucleotides) under uncultured bacterium. RNAcentral's name for it is "bacterial SSU rRNA". It matches the Rfam family "Bacterial small subunit ribosomal RNA", at positions 96 to 564 of the family's 1533-position model. The record is from RNAcentral.
UGGCGCACGGGUGAGUAACGCGUGGGUAAUCUACCUUUGGAUUUGGGAUAACUUCGCGAAAGCGUAGCUAAUACCGGAUAGUCUGGCUUUAAUUAAUAAGUUGGUAAAGGGUGCCUCUAUUUAUACGCAUUCGUCCAAAGAUGAGCCCGCGUCUCAUUAGCUAGUUGGUGGGGUAAAGGCCUACCAAGGCAACGAUGAGUAACUGGUCUGAGAGGAUGAUCAGUCACACUGGAACUGAAACACGGUCCAGACUCCUACGGGAGGCAGCAGUGGGGAAUAUUGCGCAAUGGGCGAAAGCCUGACGCAGCAACGCCGUGUGAGGGAUGAAGGUUCUCGGAUCGUAAACCUCUGUCAGAAGGGAAGAACGGUUAUAGGUCUAACAGGCCUGUAAAUUGACGGUACCUUCAAAGGAAGCACCGGCUAACUCCGUGCCAGCAGCCGCGGUAAUACGGAGGGUGCAAGCGUUAUUCGGAAUUACUGGGCGUAAA